Molecule: non-coding RNA, 751 nt
Organism: Corylus avellana
Lineage: Eukaryota; Viridiplantae; Streptophyta; Magnoliopsida; Fagales; Betulaceae
Source: RefSeq, a predicted model, not a curated record
UAUCUAGGAUAUUAUCAUUCGGGAAGCUUUCGUUUUAAUUUUUUUGCUCUAUACCUUUAUUUUGAGCUUUACACAACUAUCAUAUGAAGAUUCUGUACCUUUACUUUUAGUGUACUAGAAGCUGCAACUGUUUCCCAAUUUUCUUCUGAUGUUUAUUGUAGUUUUACAUUCCAACAUAAUGUCAUUGAAGUAAAGUUGGUUGGGGGGGGGAGUAUCUCAUCUGGAUAACCCUCUUCUUUUGUUCUCUGUGGUUUAAGCUAAUUUUAUAUAAAUUCCUAUUAUUUUGAAACCAUGAUGGCUCUGUAGAAACAAGCAAAAUAUCUUCUAACUUCGAUAGUUGAUACCACAAGCAUGCACUAGAAGAUUGCUAAAGGGUAUCUCCCCUGGAAAACCCUCUUCAUUUUAGUGUAUCAUGCACAAGAUGAUUGCUAAAGGUACAAAACCAGUUAACUAAAAAAGAAGAAAGAAUAAUUUGACAGGGAGGAGGGAGACAAUAUUGACAAUUAUCGUGGUUGAUGCAAUGGUGUGCUUAGUUUUACCAGAAAACAUGUCAGAAACUUCUUCAUCUCUCUAUAUGUAAAAGGAGAUAGAGUUUUUAUGUUCUUGCGAAUUGUUUGAAAAUUGGACGUAUAAUGGUGAUUUAUUAGUAAAAUGGGUGUUUAAGUUACCAGCCUAGCCUUCUGAUGUAAAUUUCUAUUCAGACCAUGAGCUUCCUCCCCCUCUCCCCCCCCCCCCAAAAAAAAAAAGAAAA